Molecule: long non-coding RNA, 777 nt
Organism: Cucurbita moschata (crookneck pumpkin)
Lineage: Eukaryota; Viridiplantae; Streptophyta; Magnoliopsida; Cucurbitales; Cucurbitaceae
Exons: 4
Source: RefSeq, a predicted model, not a curated record
CCGUUCGAUGAAGUUAACCUAAAACCCAUUUGCAUCAGACGGUUUGUAGCCGCUGAUCUCCGAUUCACGCGAGGUUUAAUUUCACCCGUCCGAUCAUUCUCAUAGAGAGAGAGAGAGAGAGAGAGAUGGGUGGAGUUUUGUUCAGUCCGCACUGAUCUGAAUUGCAGUACGCGGAAUUCAAUUUCAAAUGCACCGACAGAGGAAGCGCGCUUUGCAAUCUCCGCCGAUUUCGCUCCGCCUUACAAGUUUUUGAUUCUGGAGCUACAAGCUCUACUCUAUCUUCACAAGUUUCUUCGUGUUCGUACAGAUUUCCAUUGUUGUGUUACGAUUAGCUCUCAGGGCGAUUCUGAUGGCUUAUCUUCACCACAGGUUGUGACCCACCCGUCAACACAGAUAAGGGGCAACCCUCAAGUGGCGCACCGACCACAUAAGAGCCAAAAUUGAGGACUAUCAUUAUGCGACCGAGUGGAACGAUGCAUCAUCCAAUACACUAAAAGUGUGCAUUGAAGAUAAGUUGAGGUAUACGCAAAGUUGGAGAGAAGAAGGUGACACAAGUGUCGAAGACAAGCUCAAAGAGGAUUGGCUGGGCGGGUUCCCAUAUUUAGAACAUUAUAUAUGGUGUACAACAAGAACAAAGUAAAUUAGGUCGAAUGAAAGCGCCAAAGCAGUAGCUUUCUCCAUGAUUAUGAGCCAACUUCCGUUAAAAGAAUUAGAUUUUUCCAAUUGAAAUAGUGUAAUAGCUCAAGCCUAAACUCACAGGUAUCAUAUAUUAUUAAU